AAUUGCAGAAUCCCGUGAACCAUCGAGUCUUUGAACGCAAGUUGCGCCCGAAGCCAUUAGGCUGAGGGCACGUCUGCCUGGGCGUCACAGAUCGUUGCCCGAUGCCCAGUUGCCUAGCGAUAGGUGCUGGAAUUGUGCGGGGCGAACGGUGGCCUCCCGUGAGCGCUGCGCUGGCUCUCUCGGUUGGCUGAAAAUCGAGUCCACGGUGGGGUGCGCGCCACGGCAGAUGGUGGUUGAGUGACCCUCGAGACCAGUCGUGCGCCACCGCAGCCGAACCUGGCCUCCGUGACCCACGCGCGUCCUCGAACGCUCACAUGACGAGACCUCAGGUCAGGCGGGGCUACCCGCUGAGUUUA
Molecule: ribosomal RNA, 356 nt
Filed under: Callerya dielsiana
Lineage: Eukaryota; Viridiplantae; Streptophyta; Magnoliopsida; Fabales; Fabaceae
Description: eukaryotic LSU rRNA
Rfam family: 5.8S ribosomal RNA (bases 1-87)
Source: RNAcentral